Molecule: ribosomal RNA, 468 nt
Filed under: uncultured bacterium
Lineage: Bacteria
Description: partial 16S ribosomal RNA
Rfam family: Bacterial small subunit ribosomal RNA
Source: RNAcentral
GACGAACGCUGGCGGCGCGCCUAACACAUGCAAGUCGAACGGAGCUGAGAGAAGCUUGCUUUUCUUAGCUUAGUGGCGAACGGGUGAGUAACGCGUGAGUAACCUGCCCUGGAGUGGGGGACAACAGUUGGAAACGACUGCUAAUACCGCAUAAGCCCACGAUCCGGCAUCGGAUUGAGGGAAAAGGAUUUAUUCGCUUCAGGAUGGACUCGCGUCCAAUUAGCUAGUUGGUGAGGUAACGGCCCACCAAGGCGACGAUUGGUAGCCGGACUGAGAGGUUGAACGGCCACAUUGGGACUGAGACACGGCCCAGACUCCUACGGGGGGCAGCAGUGGGGGAUAUUGCACAAUGGGGGAAACCCUGAUGCAGCGACGCCGCGUGGAGGAAGAAGGUUUUCGGAUUGUAAACUCCUGUCGUUAGGGACGAUAAUGACGGUACCUAACAAGAAAGCACCGGCUAACUACGUG